Molecule: ribosomal RNA, 429 nt
Filed under: Chloroflexota bacterium
Lineage: Bacteria; Bacillati; Chloroflexota
Description: Chloroflexi bacterium partial 16S ribosomal RNA
Rfam family: Bacterial small subunit ribosomal RNA
Source: RNAcentral
AGGGGAAUAUUGCACAAUGGUCGCAAGCCUGAUGCAGCCAUGCCGCGUGUAUGAAGAAGGCCUUCGGGUUGUAAAGUACUUUCAGCGGGGAGGAAGGGAGUAAAGUUAAUACCUUUGCUCAUUGACGUUACUCGCAGAAGAAGCACCGGCUAACUCCGUGCCAGCAGCCGCGGUAAUACGGAGGGUGCAAGCGUUAAUCGGAAUUACUGUGCGUAAAGCGCACGCAGGCGGUUUGUUAAGUCAGAUGUGAAAUCCCCGGGCUCAACCUGGGAACUGCAUCUGAUACUGGCAAGCUUGAGUCUCGUAGAGGGGGGUAGAAUUCCAGGGGUAGCGGUGAAAUGCGUAGAGAUCUGGAGGAAUACCGGUGGCGAAGGCGGCCCCCUGGACGAAGACUGACGCUCAGGUGCGAAAGCGUGGGGAGCAAACAGG